Molecule: ribosomal RNA, 106 nt
Organism: Rhinopithecus bieti (black snub-nosed monkey)
Lineage: Eukaryota; Metazoa; Chordata; Mammalia; Primates; Cercopithecidae
Source: Ensembl
CCUGCUGGCAUCUACCGCCAUCCUUCCCUAAACUAGUAGCUAAGCAUGGUCGGGCCAAGUCAGUACUUGGAUGGGAGACCGACUGGGGCUACUGGAGUUAGUAGGC